RNAcentral lists this long non-coding RNA (988 nucleotides) under Homo sapiens (human). Its description in RNAcentral is "HSALNT0350836". Lineage: Eukaryota; Metazoa; Chordata; Mammalia; Primates; Hominidae. The record is from RNAcentral.
UACCUUCAGGGAUAUCUAAGUCACCAAGUCUGGGGUGAAGCCUGAGAAUUUGUAUUUCUGUUAAGUUCCCAGAUGAUGCUAAUGCUUUAUCUGGGGACCACACUUGAGAACCACUGUCCUAUGGGAUCAAGAAAUAAGCCAGGAACGAGUGUAUAUUUUUUCUAGUUAAAUAUUUAAUGUUAAGAUGUUUAGAAUUUUUUUAGGGAGGUGCUUGUCAGAUACUUUUCCUAAUAGUGGGUACUCAGAGUAUUUCAUGUGAGACUACCAAUGUCAUAUAUUUUAAAAACUAUUAGACUGGGACAGAUGGGAAAUUGCCUUCAGCAUAAGAAAAGCCAAUAUUUUUCAUAAGUCCCAAAAGCAGCUUUUGGGGUUGGUUGAUUCAGUGGUUCAAUGAAACCAUCAGAGACUCUGGUUCCUACUCUUUAUUCCACUGUGCCAUGGACCAUGUGCUGGUACAUCUUCAGACUCACUCUGCAUGGUGACAGAAUGGCUGUAGAAGUGCCAGGCAUCACAUCCAGGUUACAUACAGAUGCACACUGUUUAAUAGCCAAGCUUAUGCAGUAUCAGUAACUAUUAGAGAAACUGAAAUGGAGGAUCCAGAACUUCUUAUCAAAUAUAAUCCUUAAGAUACAAACAAAGCAGUCAUUGAAUAGUUUCUUAGCCCAUUUUCUGUGGCUUAUGAUAGAAUUCCUAAAACUGAAUGGCAUAUAAAGAAAUUUAUUUCUUAUAGCUAUGGAGGCUGAGAAGUCCAAGAUCAGGGGGACAUGUGGUAAACGCCUUCUUGCUGAUACCAGUAAAGCCUGCUGAGCUGGAGUGUCACUUGAAUCAUAUUCGCCACUUUUGCUUUCUCUUCCUACAUGGGUCCUGAGGUUUUGCUCUCAUCAUCAUCUUGCCUUUCAGUAAGUGAGCUGCUUCUAUAGAUGGAAGAAAGUUAGUCCUUCCUUUUGGUAUUUUGAGAGUUUUAUUUUUAGGCCUCUCCUUGGCUGUC